Molecule: ribosomal RNA, 621 nt
Filed under: Penicillium tropicum
Lineage: Eukaryota; Fungi; Ascomycota; Eurotiomycetes; Eurotiales; Aspergillaceae
Description: eukaryotic LSU rRNA
Rfam family: Eukaryotic large subunit ribosomal RNA
Source: RNAcentral
UGACCUCGGAUCAGGUAGGGAUACCCGCUGAACUUUAAGCAUAUCAAUUAAGCGGAGGAAAAGAAACCAACCGGGAUUGCCUAGUAACGGCGAGUGAAGCGGCAAGAGCUCAAAUUUGAAAGCUGGCUCCUUCGGGGUCCGCAUUGUAAUUUGCAGAGGAUGCUUNGGGAACGGCCCCGAUCUAAGUGCCCUGGAACGGNCNGUCAUAGAGGGUGAGAAUCCCGUNUGGGAUGGGGUGUCCGCGCCCGUGUGAAGCUCCUUCGACGAGUCGAGUUGUUUGGGAAUGCAGCUCUAAUUGGGUGGUAAAUUUNAUCUAAAGCUAAAUAUUGGCCGGAGACCGAUAGCGCACAAGUAGAGUGAUCGAAAGAUGAAAAGCACUUUGAAAAGAGAGUUAAACAGCACGUGAAAUUGUUGAAAGGGAAGCGCUUGCGACCAGACUCGCCCGCGGGGUUCAGCCGGCAUUCGUGCCGGUGUACUUCCCCGCGGGCGGGCCAGCGUCGGUUUGGGCGGCCGGUCAAAGGCCCCUGGAAUGUAACGCCUCUCGGGGCGUCUUAUAGCCAGGGGUGCCAUGCGGCCUGCCCGGACCGAGGAACGCGCUUCGGCUCGGACGCUGGCAUAAUG